RNAcentral lists this unclassified non-coding RNA (566 nucleotides) under Melitaea cinxia (Glanville fritillary). RNAcentral's name for it is "misc RNA ENSMCXG00005019930.1". The record is from RNAcentral. Lineage: Eukaryota; Metazoa; Arthropoda; Insecta; Lepidoptera; Nymphalidae.
AAGGUGAGCCGAAAUUCGUAACGUCGAAGCGAGGCAACAAAAUGAUUCAGUUGGAUGGCUAUAAUUUCUGUUUGCACAAACGUAGCAAAGAUCCUAAAUUGAGAUGGGUCUGCAGCAACUGCGGGAGAGGAUGUCGAGCGUCUAUGAUUACUGUGGACAAUGUCAUAAUUAAGGAUCCAUUUUAUAAAGUCGUCUAGAGGUAAUGAGAUGCUACAGAUAGGAGAUUUUAAGUACUGUCUUCAUAGAAAUUUCUCAACGGGAGUGAAAAAACGAUGGGUGUGCUCCAAGUCCCGAGCCUCGCUGAGGUGUAACGCUGCCGUCUAUACUAUUGACAACAUUAUUGUUAAAUGUAAAAAUGAACACAAUCAUAGUUAGGUGUAUAAACGUAUUACUUAUGACUAAGGAUCUUUAUUUUCACAUUAGAAUUACAAUUACUGAAAAACAUAACAAAACAAUAACGAAAAAUAUAUACUAAAAUGCGGGAAGAACUAAAGACGUUUUUAUUUUUGAAUUGUUUUAAAAGAAUUAAUUAAUAAAUAAAAGUCUUGACCAUAAACUGUAAUAUA